GUGCCAGCAGCCGCGGUAAUACGAAGGGGGCUAGCGUUGCUCGGAAUUACUGGGCGUAAAGGGCGCGUAGGCGGCGCUGUUAGUCAGGCGUGAAAGCCCUGGGCUCAACCUGGGGACUGCGCUUGAUACGGCAGUGCUAGAGGAUGGAAGAGGGUCGCGGAAUUCCCAGUGUAGAGGUGAAAUUCGUAGAUAUUGGGAAGAACACCGGUGGCGAAGGCGGCGACCUGGUCCAUUACUGACGCUGAGGCGCGACAGCGUGGGGAGCAAACAGGAUUAGAUACCCUGGUAGUCC
Molecule: ribosomal RNA, 292 nt
Filed under: uncultured bacterium
Lineage: Bacteria
Description: partial 16S ribosomal RNA
Rfam family: Bacterial small subunit ribosomal RNA
Source: RNAcentral